CCUACGGGAGGCUGCAGUUGGGGAUAUUGCACAAUGGGGGAAACCCUGAUGCAGCGACGCCGCGUGAGCGAUGAAGUAUUUCGGUAUGUAAAGCUCUAUCAGCAGGGAAGAAAAUGACGGUACCUGACUACGAAUCCCCGGCUAACUACGUGCCAGCAGCCGCGGUACUACGUAGGGGGCAAGCGUUAUCCGGAUUUACUGGGUGUAACGGGAACGUAGACGGCAGUGCAGGUCUGAAGUGAAAGGCAAGGGCUCAACCCUUGGACUGCUGUGGAAACUGUGCGGCUGGAGUGUGGGAGAGGCAAGUGGAAUUCCUAGUGUAGCGGUGAAAUGCGUAGAUAUUAGGAGGAACACCAGUGGCGAAGGCGGCUUGCUGGACGAUGACUGACGUUGAGGCUCGAAAGCGUGGGGAGCAAACAGGAUUAGAUACCCGGGUAGUC
Molecule: ribosomal RNA, 440 nt
Filed under: uncultured bacterium
Lineage: Bacteria
Description: partial 16S ribosomal RNA
Rfam family: Bacterial small subunit ribosomal RNA
Source: RNAcentral